This 253-nucleotide ribosomal RNA is filed under the name uncultured bacterium. RNAcentral describes it as "partial 16S ribosomal RNA". It matches the Rfam family "Bacterial small subunit ribosomal RNA", at positions 524 to 776 of the family's 1533-position model. The record is from RNAcentral.
GACGAACCGUGCGAACGUUGUUCGGAAUUACUGGGCGUAAAGCGCGCGUAGGCGGAUCGCUAAGUCAGGGGUGAAAUCCCAGGGCUCAACCCUGGAACUGCCUUUGAUACUGACGAUCUGGAGAUCGGGAGAGGUUGGUGGAAUUCCGAGUGUAGAGGUGAAAUUCGUAGAUAUUCGGAGGAACACCAGAAGCGAAGGCGGCCAACUGGCCCGAUACUGACGCUGAGGCGCGAAAGCGUGGGGAGCAAACAGG